RNAcentral lists this ribosomal RNA (619 nucleotides) under uncultured bacterium. RNAcentral's name for it is "bacterial SSU rRNA". It matches the Rfam family "Bacterial small subunit ribosomal RNA", at positions 185 to 804 of the family's 1533-position model. The record is from RNAcentral.
UCCGCAUGGUAGAACUAUUAAAGAAUUUCGGUCAUCGAUGGGGAUGCGUUCCAUUAGGUUGUUGGCGGGGUAACGGCCCACCAAGCCUUCGAUGGAUAGGGGUUCUGAGAGGAAGGUCCCCCACAUUGGAACUGAGACACGGUCCAAACUCCUACGGGAGGCAGCAGUGAGGAAUAUUGGUCAAUGGACGAGAGUCUGAACCAGCCAAGUAGCGUGAAGGAUGACUGCCCUAUGGGUUGUAAACUUCUUUUAUACGGGAAUAAAGUGAGGCACGUGUGCCUUUUUGUAUGUACCGUAUGAAUAAGGAUCGGCUAACUCCGUGCCAGCAGCCGCGGUAAUACGGAGGAUCCGAGCGUUAUCCGGAUUUAUUGGGUUUAAAGGGAGCGUAGGCGGACGCUUAAGUCAGUUGUGAAAGUUUGCGGCUCAACCGUAAAAUUGCAGUUGAUACUGGGUGUCUUGAGUACAGUAGAGGCAGGCGGAAUUCGUGGUGUAGCGGCGAAAUGCUUAGAUAUCACGAAGAACUCCGAUUGCGAAGGCAGCUUGCUGGACUGUAACUGACGCUGAUGCUCGAAAGUGUGGGUAUCAAACAGGAUUAGAUACCCUGGUAGUCCACACAGUA